CUGAGCCGGCGUGAGCCUCACCCUCCUGCGCCGCUGAGCGCAGCUGCCUCACCCGCGUCCGUGCUCACCUGGGGGUGCUCCCCACAGGGGCCGCGGGACCACGGCGCCCACCCGGCGCCCCGCACACUCCCCGGAGGACGACCCAGCCGGCAAGGAGCCCAAAUGGAGAAACCCUGUUGCAUCUCAGUAAAACCCAGAGAGGGGGCCAGCUCCUCCCGGCUGCUUGGACAAGUCCCGGGCAGGCCCCCCUCAGACCCCGCAGACCCGCUGGGUCCUCCCGCUGCGUCCACCGCUGGGUGGAGGGUGGGUGCGGGGCCCAGGUCCGCCUCCCCAAGGGCGGGUGAGGAAGCUUUGCGCCACAUCUGCUUCUGCCCCUUGUGUCCUGGCAGUGACGAGCAGAGGGGAGGAGGCCUGGUGCUCCGAGGCCUGUGGCCCUGGGGGGGGGGGGAAGGGCGCCCCGUCCCCAGCUCCUGCUGCAAAACCGGUGUGAGGAGAAGAGGCACAGGCCUGGGGGAGGGUGUGUGCUUGGCACACGCUCCGGCACCCACUGUCCCUGGGCUCCCGCAGGCCCAGCGCCUCCCCGUGGGUCCAGGCCCCUCGUGGGCGGAGGGGAGCUCCGAAGUCACUGACACGGGGCGGGGGUGGGGGACACUCCUACAGGGGGUAGAGAGUUCCCACCUCAUGAAGUUCUGGGAACGACCGCAUGGCGGGCGACAGGUGUCAACAUUACAAGGACACACAGCCCUGCACACUCGAGGGGAUUGGGGUUUGCAUCCGCAGAGGCUUCGUGGAGGUGGCGCACUGCCUGGUGCCCGCUCUCGCCCCACCUGCCCCGCCAGCCGCCCCCCCAGUGGAGGGAAGAGCCUGCUCCUCCGGGACCCCAGCCCUCGCACUCCUGCCACCGUGAGCCCCCGUGGGACCCAGAGGCUGGGGGCUGUGUCCUGUCCUUUCCUCCGGCUGCAGGGGCGUCACCCUGUGGCUCCUGGACGGCCUGCGUGGUCCCAGCUUCCUGC
This 1013-nucleotide long non-coding RNA is filed under the name Vulpes vulpes (red fox). RNAcentral's name for it is "lncRNA (ENSVVUG00000022467.1)". The record is from RNAcentral. Lineage: Eukaryota; Metazoa; Chordata; Mammalia; Carnivora; Canidae.